UCGAGACGGGCCAGAAAUGGUCACUCUUUGGACACUCGUAAACAGGUGGUGCAUGGNUUGUCGUCAGCUCGUGUCGUGAGAUGUUGGGUUAAGUCCCGCAACGAGCGCAACCCUCGUUCUAUGUUGCCAGCACGUAAUGGUGGGAACUCAUGGGAUACUGCCGGGGUCAACUCGGAGGAAGGUGGGGAUGACGUCAAAUCAUCAUGCCCCUUAUGUCUUGGGCUUCACGCAUGCUACAAUGGCCGGUACAAAGGGCUGCAAUACCGCGAGGUGGAGCGAAUCCCAAAAAGCCGGUCCCAGUUCGGAUUGAGGUCUGCAACUCGACCUCAUGAAGUCGGAGUCGCUAGUAAUCGCAGAUCAGCAACGCUGCGGUGAAUACGUUCCCGGGCCUUGUACACACCGA
RNAcentral lists this ribosomal RNA (403 nucleotides) under Microbacterium oxydans. Its description in RNAcentral is "bacterial SSU rRNA". It matches the Rfam family "Bacterial small subunit ribosomal RNA", at positions 989 to 1393 of the family's 1533-position model. Lineage: Bacteria; Bacillati; Actinomycetota; Actinomycetes; Micrococcales; Microbacteriaceae. The record is from RNAcentral.